RNAcentral lists this small RNA (285 nucleotides) under marine eukaryotic metagenome. RNAcentral's name for it is "5' ureB small RNA". The record is from RNAcentral.
UGGGCGCUGUCGAAAUGGACAUGCACGUCGAUGCCACCGGGCGUCGCGAUCAGGCCCUCGGCGUCGCGCACCGUGGUCGAGGCGCCGCAUAACAGGUUCUUGUCGACGCCGUCCAUGAUCGCCGGAUUGCCGGCCUUGCCGACGCCGGCGAUGCGCCCUUCUUUUAUUCCGAUGUCGCCCUUCACGACACCUAACACAGGGUCGAUGACGAUGGCGUUGGAGACCAGCAUGUCGAGCGCGCCGGCGGCGCUGUUGAGGCCGGCGACGAGGCCGAUGCCGUCGCGC